RNAcentral lists this ribosomal RNA (478 nucleotides) under uncultured bacterium. RNAcentral's name for it is "partial 16S ribosomal RNA". It matches the Rfam family "Bacterial small subunit ribosomal RNA", at positions 28 to 523 of the family's 1533-position model. The record is from RNAcentral.
GACGAACGCUGGCGGCGUGCUUAACACAUGCAAGUCGAGCGAUGAAGUUCCUUCGGGAGUGGAUUAGCGGCGGACGGGUGAGUAACACGUGGGUAACCUGCCUCGUAGAGGGGAAUAGCCUUCCGAAAGGAAGAUUAAUACCGCAUAAGAUUGUAGCUUCGCAUGAAGCAGCAAUUAAAGGAGCAAUCCGCUAUGAGAUGGACCCGCGUCGCAUUAGCUAGUUGGUGAGGUAACGGCUCACCAAGGCGACGAUGCGUAGCCGACCUGAGAGGGUGAUCGGCCAACUUGGGACUGAGACACGGCCCAGACUCCUACGGGAGGCAGCAGUGGGGAAUAUUGCACAAUGGGGGAAACCCUGAUGCAGCAACGCCGCGUGAGUGAUGACGGUCUUCGGAUUGUAAAACUCUGUCUUUAGGGACGAUAAUGACGGUACCUGAGGAGGAAGCCACGGCUAACUACGUGCCAGCAGCCGCCGUAA